CGACAUUUGUGCUGUGUAUGGAGACAGUGCCAUAGCUGAAAGAACCACUCGUGAUUGGUAUGCCAAGUUCAAAAAUGGGAAUUUUGACCUCAAAGAUGCACCUCGUUCUGGCUGUCCAGUUGAGUUUGAUGAAGAGCAAUUAAACCAUCUUUUGCAUGAAAAGUCUCGUCACACGGCAAGGAAACUGGCAGAGAAAAUGGAAUGCUCUCACACUGCUAUAGAGAAGCAUCUUCACUCAAUGGGAAAGGUUCAGAAGUAUGGAGCAUGGGUUCUGCAUGCUUUAAGUGACAACAACAAAAAUCAACGAGGCACAAUCUCCGCUGGUUUGCUUGCGCAACACCACUCAACUCACGGACACAAGCAACGGUUUCUUUACUGAAUCAUUACCGGCAACGAAAAAUGGUGCCUGUACAUCAAUAUGAAGCAGCAUAUGGAAUGGCUUAGCCCCAGUAAAAAAGCGACACCAUGCGUGAAACAAUAUCUUCAUCUGCGUAAAACGAUGUUGUGCGUACGGUGGGACUGAGAAGGGAUGAUCCAUUACGAAUUGUUUGUACCAAAUGGUCAAUGCGGAACUCUAUGUUCAACAGAUGGAAUGACUCAACACGGCUAUUCAAGAGAAAAGACCUAAUCGGCAGCAUGGAGUUCUUCUGCUGCACGACAACGCCUACCCUCAUAUCGCCAAUAUGACCAAGGAAGCCAUUCAAAUGCAUCGCUGGGAAGUGCUGCCACACCUGUUGUACUCUCCUAAUUUGGCACUAACAGAUUUCCACCUCUUUCGAUCUCUUCCAAAUGCUAUGUGCGGAGUUUCGUUCAAUACUGAUGCAGAAUUGAGAGCUUGGUUGGAUCAAUUUUUCGAGUCGAAAUCAGGUGAUUUCUACCAACGAGGUAUUGAAAAUCUUGUUGAAUGUUGGGAAGAAGUUGUAAAUAACAAGGGCAGAAAAAGCAUUCACCAGUGCUAAAGGAGACACUUUGAAAAACAAACCACAUACCAGUUGGCUUUCACUUCUGUGUUCAGUUUCAGAUUUGUCCUCCUAAGACAACCAAUCAAAUUCCCAAGUUCAUGAUGGUCAGUCAGGAGUGAGCUAAGAUAGCAGCACACUAUGACGUGUGGAUUUCCAUUGUUUGGGUUCAGAGAUGGUGGUGUGCAUGAAAAGGUAAGCAUCAACAUUACGUCCGGAGACAAUAAAAAGUUGUGAUGCAAAGCUGAUGACUACAGGCUCUGUGAACAAUGGAAGAAGAAGUGGCCGUCCAACCACAUUCCCAAUCAGUGGAGAACAUGGCAACAGUGCAGGAAAUGUUUAAUCACAGCCCGCAAACAUCAACACAUCAAGCAACUCAUGAAAGUGGACUAACAAGAUAUACAAUACAUAUGGUGUUGCAUAAAGAAUUGAAUUUUCAUCCGUGCAGGAGUUAAAAUCUGAAGACCAUGACCGCAGAAGUCCAGUAGUCCAGAACUCCAAGAAGUCCAGAUCUCACUCCAUGUGAUUUUUGCCUGUGGGGUUACACAAAAAAGGUGUACAAGACAAAACCUCACACACUGGAGGACUUGGAGACACAGAUUCAGGAGGUUCUCAAUGAUAUCCUAGACGACGUCCUUCAGAAUGUUGUUCAUUCCAUCCCUGGUCACUUGAGGAAACUGGUUGACGCCACCGGUGCUUACGUUGAGAUAUGAAGAUUUACCUUCAUUUUCCCAUGUAAUAAAG
Molecule: long non-coding RNA, 1703 nt
Organism: Octopus bimaculoides (California two-spot octopus)
Lineage: Eukaryota; Metazoa; Mollusca; Cephalopoda; Octopoda; Octopodidae
Source: RefSeq, a predicted model, not a curated record